RNAcentral lists this ribosomal RNA (460 nucleotides) under uncultured bacterium. RNAcentral's name for it is "partial 16S ribosomal RNA". It matches the Rfam family "Bacterial small subunit ribosomal RNA", at positions 338 to 795 of the family's 1533-position model. The record is from RNAcentral.
CCUACGGGAGGCAGCAGUGAGGAAUAUUGGUCAAUGGACGAGAGUCUGAACCAGCCAAGUAGCGUGAAGGAUGACUGCCCUAUGGGUUGUAAACUUCUUUUAUAUGGGAAUAAAAUGUUCCACGUGUGGGAUUUUGUAUGUACCAUAUGAAUAAGGAUCGGCUAACACCGUGCCAGCAGCCGCGGUAAUACGGAGGAUCCGAGCGUUAGCCGGAUUUAUUGGGUUUAAAGGGAGCGUAGGUGGGUCGUUAAGUCAGUUGUGAAAGUUUGCGGCUCAACCGUAAAAUUGCAGUUGAUACUGGCGGUCUUGAGUACAGUAGAGGUGGGCGGAAUUCGUGGUGUAGCGGUGAAAUGCUUAGAUAUCACGAAGAACUCCGAUUGCGAAGGCAGCUCACUGGACUGCAACUGACACUGAGGCUCGAAAGUGUGGGUAUCAAACAGGAUUAGAUACCCCUGUAGUC